GACGAACGCUGGCGGCGUGCUUAACACAUGCAAGUCGAACGGAAAGGCCCUGCUUUUGUGGGGUGCUCGAGUGGCGAACGGGUGAGUAACACGUGAGUAACCUGCCCUUGACUUUGGGGUAACUUCAGGAAACUGGGGCUAAUACCGGAUAGGAGCUCCUGCUGCAUGGUGGUGGUUGGAAAGUUUCGGCGGUUGGGGAUGGACUCGCGGCUUAUCAGCUUGUUGGUGGGGUAGUGGCUUACCAAGGCUUUGACGGGUAGCCGGCCUGAGAGGGUGACCGGCCACAUUGGGACUGAGAUACGGCCCAGACUCCUACGGGAGGCAGCAGUGGGGAAUAUUGCACAAUGGGCGGAAGCCUGAUGCAGCAACGCCGCGUGCGGGAUGACGGCCUUCGGGUUGUAAACCGCUUUCGCCUGCGACGAAGCGUGAGUGACGGUAAUGGGUAAAGAAGCACCGGCUAACUACGUG
This 468-nucleotide ribosomal RNA is filed under the name uncultured bacterium. RNAcentral describes it as "partial 16S ribosomal RNA". It matches the Rfam family "Bacterial small subunit ribosomal RNA", at positions 28 to 507 of the family's 1533-position model. The record is from RNAcentral.